GCGAGGGUGGCGGAAUUGGCAGACGCGUACGGCUUAGGACCGUAUGCCGAAAGGCUUAAGGGUUCAACUCCCUUCCCUCGCA
Molecule: transfer RNA, 82 nt
Filed under: Elusimicrobiota bacterium
Lineage: Bacteria; Pseudomonadati; Elusimicrobiota
Description: Elusimicrobia bacterium (wastewater metagenome) tRNA-Leu
Rfam family: tRNA
About the family: Transfer RNA (tRNA) molecules are approximately 80 nucleotides in length. Their secondary structure includes four short double-helical elements and three loops (D, anti-codon, and T loops).
Source: RNAcentral